This 482-nucleotide ribosomal RNA is filed under the name uncultured bacterium. RNAcentral's name for it is "partial 16S ribosomal RNA". It matches the Rfam family "Bacterial small subunit ribosomal RNA", at positions 30 to 507 of the family's 1533-position model. The record is from RNAcentral.
AUUGAACGCUGGCGGCAUGCCUUACACAUGCAAGUCGAACGGUAACGGGCCUUCGGGUGCCGACGAGUGGCGCACGGGUGAGUAAUACAUCGGAACGUGCCCGAUCGUGGGGGAUAACGAGGCGAAGGCUUUGCUAAUACCGCAUACGAUCUACGGAUGAAAGCAGGGGACCGCAAGGCCUUGCGCGGACGGAGCGGCCGAUGGCAGAUUAGGUAGUUGGUGGGAUAAAAGCUUACCAAGCCGACGAUCUGUAGCUGGUCUGAGAGGAUGAUCAGCCACACUGGGACUGAGACACGGCCCAGACUCCUACGGGAGGCAGCAGUGGGGAAUUUUGGACAAUGGGCGCAAGCCUGAUCCAGCCAUGCCGCGUGCAGGAUGAAGGCCUUCGGGUUGUAAACUGCUUUUGUACGGAACGAAAAGCCUUCUUUUAAUACAGGAGGGUCAUGACGGUACCGUAAGAAUAAGCACCGGCUAACUACGUG